ACCACGCGUACGAUCUUUUGCGUUCUUGGUAUUGAGAAACACCCGGGGUUUAACACGAAACUGUACUACAUAACCUCGUAAUCAUAUCUCAGUGUCUGACGUUAACUAAAAUAUAAUUCUUGGUUAAGUAUUCUUUGAUAUAAGAAUUUUCCUAAUGUAACUGCCCUAACUUUCGGGGGAGUUAAACGUACACGGCUUGGAAGAUGAAAACCAGACGUGGCUUGUGGCGGCCCUGAGCAAUCACUGCAGAUGUCGGCUCUCUUUCUUUUGGGGGGGGUCCCCGUGCUCUGGGGGUGGAGGUUACGUCAUCGGGGCUAAUCCCGUUCGAGGUCUGGCGUAUGAGCCGCCUCAGAUGCUUCGUCGGCACUGUCAGACUCCCCCCCGCCCCCGGAGUGGUCCGCCCCGGCGCGAGUCCAAGAGGGAGCUUCGGCUAAUCCGAGGCCCGUCUCCUUCAGGCCAGUCAGAGGAGCCCCCUCCUGUUUUCCGAGCCGAUCCGAAUCCUGUAUGGGCUGUGGUCCCAUCCCGCGAUGUCCCACAAAAUCCAAAAUGCCUUUAUAUAUGAAGUUUGUUUGGAGGUGGUUAGGACACUGUGUCUGUGAUAACAAGGUCACCAGUUCAAGUGCCUGUUCUGGCAGAUUUUCCUGUUGGGCCCUUGAGC
This is a long non-coding RNA of Paramormyrops kingsleyae, 658 nucleotides long. RefSeq lists it as uncharacterized. NCBI's taxonomy places the organism in Eukaryota, Metazoa, Chordata, Actinopteri, Osteoglossiformes, Mormyridae. The record is from RefSeq and is a predicted model, not a curated record.